This 1847-nucleotide long non-coding RNA is filed under the name Carica papaya (papaya). RNAcentral describes it as "long non-coding RNA (CPAP_LNC009725)". The record is from RNAcentral. Lineage: Eukaryota; Viridiplantae; Streptophyta; Magnoliopsida; Brassicales; Caricaceae.
GUCCAUCAUGUUUCUGCAAAUAAAAAUAUUCUUACUUUUAAAUUAGGAGAAGAGACAGACAUUUACAAUGAGGGAAUUGGUUGUUAUAGAUGGACAAUAUUAACACAAUCACCAGAACAAAAGUAGAAUUGAUCAUUUUUAAAACUUGCUCCAAAUCUUCACAAUAGCAAUGCUUUAGAGGUACAAGCAAACAAUCAAAUAUAGUACAUUGCUUUUACAACUUGAUUACGAAAAAGAAUAAAGAACUACAAUAUAUUUUACCUUUCCAACUAAUAUUAUGAUGACGCUAGACGUGUUACUAGUUCAAUCACAAAUCUUGAUGAGAAACUAUAUUUUACCCACUUGUUUGCUUGAGUUAAAAUGCAUAAUUGAUGCAAAUUGAUCACGACAUAAAGAUAGGAGAAAAGAAAAGUAAGAAUUUAUAUGCAAAAAGGUCGAAUACAUGAAUCACCACCUCUGAUCUUGCCAAUUUUCACAACAAAUAUUUCUUCUCAUCUCACAAUGUUUCCUCACCUCUCAUUCUCAUUCCUUCAAUUCACCACACAAGAAUCUUCAAUCCCCAUAUACUACCAAAAAAAAACACAAGUAAUCUGUGUAUGCAAUACCAAUAUAUUAGCUUUAUUUAGAGCCGAAUGAUCAUACCCGCACUAACACACUAUGUUUCAUUUUAAUUAAAUCGUUAUAGACACUUAUAAAACAGUAACAAAAACAUAGACAUAAGAAAGUCCUAACCUAAUCAGCAAGUUCAACUUCAUUCUUCAAAAUCAAGUCAUCCUCUAUCAUUUUUAAAUCAUAUAUCAAACAUAUUUAGUGAAUACACAAGCACUUAAUAGCUACAUUUUCAAUAUGUUGUAAUACACGAUUAUAUACCACCCUCAAAAACUACAAAUAGGAUAAUUUAAAGCACAAUUUACCUAAAACAUGGUACAUCUGGAUUGCGGUACCAGUAUAGGUACAAAAUACAGUAUAAAAAUUUCAAGAAAAAUUUUGAUGAUAUAGGAGAGAAAAAGAAAAAGAAAAAUAGGCUGUUCAAACACUACAUUUCUCUUCAACGUCAUCAGUAGAAGAGAACAUCAGCAUGUAUGCGGUGCAUAGUCAAGCAUCUUUAAAAGGGUCAAUCUAUUUCUACUAGUACAUCUGGAUUGUGGUACCAGUAUAGGUACAAAAUACAGUAUAAAAAUUUGAAGAAAAAUUUUGAUUAUAUAGAAGAGAAAAAGAGAAAGAAAAAUAGGUUGUUGGAACACUUGCAUUUCUCUUCAAGGUCAUCAGUAGAAGAGAACAUCACUAUGUAUGAGGUGCAUAGUCAAGCAUCCUUCAAAAAGGUCAAUCUAUUUCUACCGGUACAUCUAGAUUGUGGUACCAAUAUAGGUACAAAAUACAGUAUAAAAAUUUGAAGAAAAAUUUUGAUGAUAUAGGAGAGAAAAAGAGAAAGAAAAAUAGGUUGUUGGAACACUUGCAUUUCUCUUCAAGGUCAUCAGUAAAAGAGAACAUCAUCAUGCAAGCGGUGCAUAGUCAAGCAUCCUUAAAAGGGCCAAUCUACUUCUACUUAUGACACCAUAAAACACAAGAAAGAAGAUUCGUAAGUACAAAAACUGGCCAAACAAACAGGAAAUCUUGGACAUUAACUGAGCCAGACUAGAACUCACAAGGAAUCUUUGGUUUAAGCUUUUUGACAAGCAAAUCUGACAGUACUAUCUACAACAUUGCAUGCUCUCAUCCACAAUAAAAACAAAUUCGCUAUUUCAUUGUAGUCACCUUUUAUAUGGUAUUUUAUGAGAUUAUGACGAUGGCUGUGCAGGCAUGAUAAAAAAGGAGAUUCUAUAACAUUCUAACUUAAAGAAAACUNN